AGUUUGAUCAUGGCUCAGAUUGAACGCUGGCGGCAGGCUUAACACAUGCAAGUCGAGCGGAUGAAGGGAGCUUGCUCCUGGAUUCAGCGGCGGACGGGUGAGUAAUGCUUAGGAAUCUGCCUAUUAGUGGGGGACAACAGUUGGAAACGGCUGCUAAUACCGCAUACGCCCUACGGGGGAAAGCAGGGGAUCUUCGGACCUUGCGCUAAUAGAUGAGCCUAAGUCGGAUUAGCUAGUUGGUGGGGUAAAGGCCUACCAAGGCGACGAUCUGUAGCGGGUCUGAGAGGAUGAUCCGCCACACUGGGACUGAGACACGGCCCAGACUCCUACGGGAGGCAGCAGUGGGGAAUAUUGGACAAUGGGGGGAACCCUGAUCCAGCCAUGCCGCGUGUGUGAAGAAGGCCUUUUGGUUGUAAAGCACUUUAAGCGAGGAGGAGGCUACUUAGAUUAAUACUCUAGGAUAGUGGACGUUACUCGCAGAAUAAGCACCGGCUAACUCUGUGCCAGCAGCCGCGGUAAUACAGAGGGUGCGAGCGUUAAUCGGAUUUACUGGGCGUAAAGCGUGCGUAGGCGGCUUUUUAAGUCGGAUGUGAAAUCCCUGA
This 602-nucleotide ribosomal RNA is filed under the name uncultured Acinetobacter sp. RNAcentral's name for it is "bacterial SSU rRNA". It matches the Rfam family "Bacterial small subunit ribosomal RNA", at positions 10 to 606 of the family's 1533-position model. Lineage: Bacteria; Pseudomonadati; Pseudomonadota; Gammaproteobacteria; Moraxellales; Moraxellaceae. The record is from RNAcentral.